CGCAACCCUCGUCCUUAGUUGCCAUCAUUAAGUUGGGCACUUUAAGGAAACUGCCGGUGAUAAGCCGGAGGAAGGUGGGGAUGACGUCAAGUCCUCAUGGCCCUUACAGGCUGGGCUACACACGUGCUACAAUGGCAUCUACAGUGGGCAGCUAUUCCGCAAGGAUGCGCUAAUCUCCAAAAGAUGUCUCAGUUCGGAUUGUCCUCUGCAACUCGAGGGCAUGAAGGCGGAAUCGCUAGUAAUCGCGGAUCAGCAUGCCGCGGUGAAUACGUUCCCAGGCCUU
RNAcentral lists this ribosomal RNA (283 nucleotides) under uncultured Porphyrobacter sp. Its description in RNAcentral is "partial 16S ribosomal RNA". It matches the Rfam family "Bacterial small subunit ribosomal RNA", at positions 1097 to 1382 of the family's 1533-position model. The record is from RNAcentral. Lineage: Bacteria; Pseudomonadati; Pseudomonadota; Alphaproteobacteria; Sphingomonadales; Erythrobacteraceae.